RNAcentral lists this ribosomal RNA (403 nucleotides) under Verrucomicrobiota bacterium. RNAcentral describes it as "Verrucomicrobia bacterium partial 16S ribosomal RNA". It matches the Rfam family "Bacterial small subunit ribosomal RNA", at positions 355 to 776 of the family's 1533-position model. The record is from RNAcentral. Lineage: Bacteria; Pseudomonadati; Verrucomicrobiota.
UGGGGAAUAUUGCACAAUGGGGGAAACCCUGAUGCAGCGACGCCGCGUGAGCGAAGAAGGCUUUCGAGUCGUAAAGCUCUGUCCUAUGAGAAGAUAAUGACGGUAUCAUAGGAGGAAGCCCUGGCUAAAUACGUUCCAGCAGCCGCGGUAAUACGUAUGGGGCGAGCGUUGUCCGGAAUUAUUGGGCGUAAAGGGUACGUAGGUGGUUUUUUAAGUCAGGUGUCAAAGCGUGGAGCUUAACUCCAUUAAGCACUUGAAACUGAAAGACUUGAGUGAAGGAGAGGAAAGUGGAAUUCCUAGUGUAGCGGUGAAAUGCGUAGAUAUUAGGAGGAAUACCGGUGGCGAAGGCGACUUUCUGGACUUUUACUGACGCUCAGGUACGAAAGCGUGGGGAGCAAACAGG